UAAUAAAAAUUUCAUCUAUUUUUACUUUUAAAAAUUAGGUUAACAAGAUAACCAGACAGAUAUACGUGACGUGUCACGUGUACCUCAUUUUGACGUAUAAGGAUUAAUUUUUAACUCUAAAAACAAAUGAAAAUUUUUAACA
This is a non-coding RNA of Gossypium hirsutum (cotton), 142 nucleotides long. The record is from Rfam. Lineage: Eukaryota; Viridiplantae; Streptophyta; Magnoliopsida; Malvales; Malvaceae.